Molecule: ribosomal RNA, 814 nt
Filed under: Escherichia coli
Lineage: Bacteria; Pseudomonadati; Pseudomonadota; Gammaproteobacteria; Enterobacterales; Enterobacteriaceae
Description: partial 23S ribosomal RNA
Rfam family: Bacterial large subunit ribosomal RNA
Source: RNAcentral
UAGUGAACCAGUACCGUGAGGGAAAGGCGAAAAGAACCCCGGCGAGGGGAGUGAAAAAGAACCUGAAACCGUGUACGUACAAGCAGUGGGAGCCUCUUUAUGGGGUGACUGCGUACCUUUUGUAUAAUGGGUCAGCGACUUAUAUUCUGUAGCAAGGUUAACCGAAUAGGGGAGCCGAAGGGAAACCGAGUCUUAACUGGGCGUUAAGUUGCAGGGUAUAGACCCGAAACCCGGUGAUCUAGCCAUGGGCAGGUUGAAGGUUGGGUAACACUAACUGGAGGACCGAACCGACUAAUGUUGAAAAAUUAGCGGAUGACUUGUGGCUGGGGGUGAAAGGCCAAUCAAACCGGGAGAUAGCUGGUUCUCCCCGAAAGCUAUUUAGGUAGCGCCUCGUGAAUUCAUCUCCGGGGGUAGAGCACUGUUUCGGCAAGGGGGUCAUCCCGACUUACCAACCCGAUGCAAACUGCGAAUACCGGAGAAUGUUAUCACGGGAGACACACGGCGGGUGCUAACGUCCGUCGUGAAGAGGGAAACAACCCAGACCGCCAGCUAAGGUCCCAAAGUCAUGGUUAAGUGGGAAACGAUGUGGGAAGGCCCAGACAGCCAGGAUGUUGGCUUAGAAGCAGCCAUCAUUUAAAGAAAGCGUAAUAGCUCACUGGUCGAGUCGGCCUGCGCGGAAGAUGUAACGGGGCUAAACCAUGCACCGAAGCUGCGGCAGCGACACUAUGUGUUGUUGGGUAGGGGAGCGUUCUGUAAGCCUGUGAAGGUGUGCUGUGAGGCAUGCUGGAGGUAUCAGAAGUGCGAAUGCUGACAU